CAAGAAAGCUAGGACAGAGAGCCU
Molecule: non-coding RNA, 24 nt
Filed under: Arabidopsis thaliana (thale cress)
Lineage: Eukaryota; Viridiplantae; Streptophyta; Magnoliopsida; Brassicales; Brassicaceae
Source: RNAcentral